AGAUCUCAAGCGAUGCUCGAGGGGAAGAACAGCACCUACAAGGAGGAGAGCCAAGUGCCUGCCACUAGAGAGGAACCCUGGGGACAGUAUCAAGUGCUCUCAGUUCCUCCUGGUGAUCUGAUGCAGGGCAGCGAGGAGGGAGGAAGGUCCACGUCGCUGCGACCCAUCAGCAGCCGUGGGUCAGCACGGGGUUACUUGGAUGAAGGAAUCAAGGCUGGAUCUGGAUUUUGGCCCGAUCCUCACCAUUGUCUUAGACAUGGGCAUCUUCCAAAUUCCUGUGGGAAAUCCCACGUUCUUCACGACUGUCCCUGUCCCUCGGGAAGCAGCUGGAGCACACACGAGCGACCGCCGUGCCCGGCCAGGAGAGGCUGUGCUGCCCAGCCCGGUACCCGCUGACCUCAGGAGGAAUUAACAGGCUUCAGCAAACGUACCCUGCAGGCAGUUUUACCCUGGAAAAACAUCACCCACAUUGCUAGAGUUUAGGACAACAAAUUAAAGCUUUUAAUAUGCACUGGCUGCUUUUUUUUUUUUUUUUCCCCCAUCCCCACACCACCACCAUCCCCCCUCCCAGCCCAGUAACAUCCAGUUGCUUAAUUCCAUUUGAAAUCAGCCGGGUUAGGCACCUAAAUAAUCUUGUCCUUCAUGCCUGUCAACAUCUUGAGGCACCUAACCACCUUUAGAGAUGUGGUGUGAAAGCUUGUGAACGAUGCAAUCGAGGAGGGAAACAAAAGACAAGUAUCCCUAUUUGCUGCCCAAGAAUCCACAAAGAAUGCUGCUUCAGCUCUGCUCUGAUUUCUAAUUAGAUUAUGAGUGAUGUAGGACUCUGAAGCCAAGCUGGAGUUUGUGCUAGCACUUUGCAUGUAUGAAUGACAAAGGGACACCACUUUCAUAUUGAUUUAAGCAAGCCAGUGGAAGAAUGUUUAAACAUCAAGUGCUUGAUGUCCCAGUUUGCCAGAGCACCUGGAAAUAUCAAAUUAAUUCCAGGUGUUCUGCCAUUAAGACAGGCUUGCUGCUUUUACAGCCACACAUACAAAAUGUGGCUUCCAGUUCCACAAAUAAAAACGGAAUGGUUUCUGCUCCUAAUGCCUCGAUAACUCCGACAUAUUGCAAGUUCUGGAAAGAAUUUUAAUCUACAUAGGUUUUUUUUUAAUGGGGAGGGGAGCAAGGGGGGAAAGAUUUUAAAUAUGCUGCAUACAAUUUGUGAUGGUCAUCUCUAAAAUGCAGCUCCAUUAUCCUUUUCCAUUUGGAAUGAAUGAGGCUAAUUAAUUUCAGGCCAUACUUGAUGAGGUCAGCACCAUACGAAGGGUGCGUGCUAGACAUUGCUAAUCUCUUUCAGCUGAGAGUGAUGAAUUAAAGAUGAAGCAUUCCUUUGCAGGCCUAAUUUAGAAUGUAUAUCAAAAACCUACAGCAAAUAAUACUAUACCCUACAACAAAGGAAAACUUGUUCUCUCAGGCUCCCAUGUAGGGUUGAUUUUAAAGGCAUUUUCAUUUCGCUUUGGAAUUCCAGCUGUGGAUGGGUGAAACAGUUCAGAAAAUUCAAGCUUUCUCUCUUUCUAUUGCUUUUAUGGACAAAAGUAGGCAAGGGGGGGCUAAGGGGAGAGAGAAACUGGUCCGUGUUUGAUGCUGUAUAUCCUGUGAUUCUGACUGCACGCUCGGUGUUUGGGAAACCAAGUACCUGUGACGUGACACCCCCCCACGGCCCACACUCACAUCUCACUGUUGGGGCUUUUUAAGUCUCAGGGGAAAGCAGCCAAGGGUCCCCUUUGGUUCAGCAUCAUCCCAAGAAUGUUUUGUUGGACGUUGCAGGCGGGAGACAGGACAGGUCCAGCAGUUCUGCUGGGACACCCAACGAGGACAGGAGGUUCCAAGCCCACACAGAGCUGUCACUCUCCUUAUGGAUAAACACCUCCCUACGCAAAAAGGUCCCAUCACGCCUAGAAGUGCAGAUAGCAAAAGAGAAUGGAACAAAUCACUGCAAAAGUAACCAGGUCUGGGAGCAGGACAAAUUGCUACACAGCUCCUGAACUGGCUGGAGUUGAGGCUCAGCCAAGCUUUGUCACCUUUCCCUCAAGGCAAAGCCACCCACAAAGUCCAUAGGGGUUUUCCCUGAGUGAGGGACUGCAGGAUUUGUUCCUGUGGGCAGCAAGAAGCUGAAUUGUCAUUUUGGUAAAAUAGGGACUUAUGAAAUAUUAUUUUGGUAAAAUAGGGACUUAUGAAAUCUUAAGCCAGCCUCGGAAGGAGGCUGCAAAUAAUAGACCACCGUCCUCCCCACCACUUCUCUGUUCAAUACCUGGCAGUUCCUUGGAAUUCUUGACAGGUUGCUGCAGCGAGUCGAAGUUCCCAACUGGUGGCCAUAAGCGGCUGCCGUCUUUGUAUCCCAGUAGUCCUCAUUAGAACAAAGCUGCUUCGAAUUAAAUCCAAUCUACAUGCCGAAUCAAUCUUUCAGCCCUUUGAUUGCUUCUGAAAAUAUUUAUACUUCUUAAUAAUGCACAUUUUGUCCCAAAGCCUGUGAUUAAACCCAGACAAGGUCCGGAGAAGCCUGAAGUAUAUGUGGAAGGGGUUAUUUUGGACAGGAAAAGAAAGAUAAAGACACAGGUUUUUCCUAUUGUGAAAUCAUUAGAGUGUAUAAAUCUAGCAAUUGCAGUUGUAUAAGCAUCAGAGUGGGGUUGUAAUAAAUACAGAUUGGAGUAUUAUAGUAACCAAAUGGAGUUUAUGGAUUAUGUUCACUAGUUCAUAUUUCUCAGCUACUACAACCUAACUAGCUUCAUGCUGCACUCACCUCUGUUAAUAUUACCUAUUAAUAUUCUCUUUACGUGUUUGUGGGGGGAAAAAAAGUUAGGAUUCAACUGCUGCUCUGUGUAAAACAAAUAUGUUUAAAGAAUCAUGCCCUCCAAAGAAAAAAAAUAAACACAGGGAUGCUGCAAAGCAACUGUGUUCGAAGGGCACAGGCUGUGGCUGGCUGAAAUCAGCCUGUUCUGCUGAAAGUUAAUAACUUCCAUCUGAGGGGGAUCUGGUUCUAAUGCAGGGAAUUUGCUGUGUGAAAACUGGGGUGUAAAAAUGAAGAAAAUAACUUCUGCUGUCCCUUACCCUGGUGAAUUUUUAGGGUGGUAAAUAAUAAGCUUUGGCUGGAGAUGAGAAACGCACAAAGGCUUUGAAACUGUGCUGUGCGGUAAACAGCGUGUUGUUCCCUUCUCAAAAAGCAACACAGGUGAGACAUGAGGAGAUGAGGGGAAGGAAACAUUCCUUGGCUAAGAAGUAACCCAGAUAGGGCCAGAUCCUCCAGAGCGGGGAUCUGCCAUCGAUGGAGAAGGUGGUGGUGGCUGGGGACGCAGAUCAGAUAAAGGCUCUGUACCUGUCUCCCUCCCUAAACACAAAUGACUGCCCUUGUCUCUAAUAACAGGGAGAAAUUUACUUUGGAAAACACAUCAUGAUAAAUCUCCUUGGAUAUAGUAUGCAAUGUCUGGGUGAGAGGGAAAGAAAUCCUAGAUACUAAAAAUACAUAGUACUUAUUUAAUAUCAUUGUCAUCAGCAGCAUCAGAUGGUAAAUGCAGGUAAUAUUCUUCAAUAGUGGGCUGGUAAAUGCUUGUGGUAGUUUUGCUUGUGACAGUUUCUCCUUUCACAAAGGAGAGAAAGAAAUAUUCUCAGUUCAAAUAUUAUUCAUUGACUCUUUCAUCACAUAGUUCAUUAUAUUAAGUUGUUAUUUCCUAAAUAUGUUGGGGGGUGGUAUUAUUGUUAUACAUAUAUCCUGAGUCAUGAUGGCUAUUUUGCAUUAAUGUAUGAUUUGGAUGCUCAGUCUUUAGGUAGAGAGAAGGGGUGUGUUUAUCAUGACAAUAAAUAAGGGGAGAGCAGAGAUUGAAACAACCUCUCCUAAAUGGGGAUGGAUCCAAAACCUAAUGACACACAUGAAAAUCCAUUUUGGAUCAGAACCCCAUCUGAACUAUGUGUUAUAUAACCAGCAUUUUCUGAGUAUCUUCUAUUGUUUGACAACCCUGAUUUCACACUGAACUUGGAGUUCAUUUCCGAACAGAAGCUUUUUGUAUGGAAACUUUUAAUCAUAUCCCUUUGUGAACACACACAUGCCAUCGAGGAUAUUGUCUUAUUAAGAGUUUAAGCCUAAAGGUGUAUGCCUACUUUUAAAAGAAAUUUUCUGAUUGCAGAUAACUGCUCAAUUUGAUUUAGUGUCCAAUGAUAGUGAUGGGGUUGAUAACUGAGCAUUCAUCGGUAAUUCAUCUUGUGCUAGUAGAAAUUUACAGCAAAGCAGUGCUUUCCCAACACUGACAAGUCCUAUUAAUCUUCUUCAGACACAUUUCAAUAGGUGUCUCCAUCUGUGCCCAACAUCUAAACACUCUGGCAUCACUGGGGACUUGGAGACACCUUCAUUUCAGGUUACACUAGUGAAAAUGUGAUACUAGAUUGUACUCUAUUUUUAACCUAAUUCUCUCUUUUCAUUCAAUUAGCCUUUCUUGCCUGCAUUUUUCUACUCAUGUGUAACAUCCUUUUCCCGGGAAUAGCUUAAAAAUAAGAUUUAGUUACUUAAAGAGACAGAAUCUGCCAGGACAAGAGCAACCAAGAGCUCAGUACAGAAAAGCAGAAUAACAAAGCUCAGGGACACAGCGUGGACACCGAAUUGCCAGUCACCAAACACGUCCCGAGCAGCAUUCCCACAAUAUUCCCCUCCUGAUGCACCUCUUGCAGGCACCACUGGGUUAGGACAGGUCUGAAACCAAAACUGAAAACAAUUGCAGGAUGUUUGGGUGCUGAAAUCCCAAAGAGCUCUGUUUGUUCGUGCUGCACGGGGAUCCCCAGCAUCCAUCCCCACUUCGCUUGACAUCUACAACUAAUGCAUGAACAAACACAGAGCAGUCAAAUUACAGCAAUAACAUUUAUGGGUGGAUUAUGUUCCAACUUCCUCACUUAUUAUUAAAAGCGAGUAAAUUGUGAAGCACAUGGAAGAGGUAGGGUGCAAAUGCAGGCGAAUUUCCACUCUGAACCAAAUGUUGUUUUUUCACUUUCAAAGCUGCGAUGAGUUUGCGAGCAGACGCAGCACAGCUUUAAAGCUUACUCAUUCAAAAAUGUGUGUUUGGGUUCCUUUUUUUUUUUUUUUUUUUUUUUUUCCCUCUCCCCUCCUUACUCCAUUUACGUUUGCCUUUCAAAGAGGAGCAGAUGCACACCAUUUGGGUUUGGGUGGCUCCUACUUGCUCUGAACUUUCUUCUGAAAAGAGCAAACCGUGAGCCGUGCGUCUGCUCCGCGCCUCAGAGGCGGUUUCAAACUUUGUUUCUGGCAUUAUGAAGUUCUCUCGUGAGUCGUGUUAUAGAUCUAAAUGACCUUAUUGUAGGUGGCAAGUUUAAAUGUGCCAUAUUAAUAACUUGUUAUCCAAGACAAAUUAAGUCCUUAUGUGUCAAAAGCACUCUGUUCUGGAUUACCUACAAGACAAGUAUUUAUUGAAUAAACGUUGGAUCCAAUUUCAUUU
RNAcentral lists this long non-coding RNA (5471 nucleotides) under Taeniopygia guttata (zebra finch). Its description in RNAcentral is "lncRNA (ENSTGUG00000023703.1)". Lineage: Eukaryota; Metazoa; Chordata; Aves; Passeriformes; Estrildidae. The record is from RNAcentral.